GACGAACGCUGGCGGCGUGCUUAACACAUGCAAGUCGAGCGGUAAGGCCCUUCGGGGUACACGAGCGGCGAACGGGUGAGUAACACGUGGGUGACCUGCCUCUAGCUCUGGGAUAAGCCUGGGAAACUGGGUCUAAUACCGGAUAUGACUCCACGGCGCAUGUUGGUGGGGUGGAAAGCCUUGUGUGGCUAGAGAUGGGCCCGCGGCCUAUCAGCUUGUUGGUGGGGUGAGGCCUACCAAGGCGACGACGGGUAGCCGGCCUGAGAGGGCGACCGGCCACACUGGGACUGAGACACGGCCCAGACUCCGUACGGGAGGCAGCAGGUGGGGAAUCUUGCGC
RNAcentral lists this ribosomal RNA (340 nucleotides) under uncultured bacterium. Its description in RNAcentral is "bacterial SSU rRNA". It matches the Rfam family "Bacterial small subunit ribosomal RNA", at positions 28 to 369 of the family's 1533-position model. The record is from RNAcentral.